CCUACGGGUGGCAGCAGUAGGGAAUAUUGCUCAAUGGUGGAAACCCUGAAGCAGCAACGCCGCGUGGAGGAUGAAGGUUUUCGGAUUGUAAACUCCUUUUGUUAGAGAAGAUAAUGACGGUAUCUAACGAAUAAGCACCGGCUAACUCCGUGCCAGCAGCCGCGGUAAUACGGAGGGUGCAAGCGUUACUCAGAAUCACUGGGCGUAAAGAGUGCGUAGGCGGGAUUGCAAGUCAGAUGUGAAAUCCUGUAGCUUAACCAUAGAACUGCAUUUGAAACUGUUAUUCUAGAGUGUGGGAGAGGUAGGUGGAAUUCUUGGUGUAGGGGUAAAAUCCGUAGAGAUCAAGAGGAAUACUCAUUGCGAAGGCGACCUGCUGGAACAUAACUGACGCUGAUGCGCGAAAGCGUGGGGAGCAAACAGGAUUAGAUACCCGUGUAGUC
This 440-nucleotide ribosomal RNA is filed under the name uncultured bacterium. RNAcentral describes it as "partial 16S ribosomal RNA". It matches the Rfam family "Bacterial small subunit ribosomal RNA", at positions 338 to 795 of the family's 1533-position model. The record is from RNAcentral.